Non-coding RNA from Felis catus (domestic cat), 85 nucleotides. NCBI's taxonomy places the organism in Eukaryota, Metazoa, Chordata, Mammalia, Carnivora, Felidae. The record is from Rfam.
GCCUGGGUGGUUCAGUCGGUUAAGUGUCCGACUUCAGCUCAGGUCAUGUUCUCACAGUUUGUGGGUUCGAGCCCCACAUCAGGCU